AGAGUUUGAUCAUGGCUCAGAACGAACGCUGGCGGCAGGCUUAACACAUGCAAGUCGAACGCACCUUCGGGUGAGUGGCAGACGGGUGAGUAACGCGUGGGAACGUGCCCUUCAGUUCGGAAUAACCCAGGGAAACUUGGGCUAAUACCGGAUACGUGCGAGAGCAGAAAGAUUUAUCGCUGAAGGAUCGGCCCGCGUCUGAUUAGCUAGUUGGUGGGGUAAUGGCCCACCAAGGCGACGAUCAGUAGCUGGUCUGAGAGGAUGAUCAGCCACAUUGGGACUGAGGCACGGCCCAAACUCCUACGGGAGGCAGCAGUGGGGAAUAUUGGACAAUGGGCGCAAGCCUGAUCCAGCCAUGCCGCGUGAGUGAUGAAGGCCUUAGGGUUGUAAAGCUCUUUCGGCGGGGACGAUAAUGACGGUACCCGCAGAAGAAGCCCCGGCUAACUUCGUGCCAGCAGCCGCGGUAAUACGAAGGGGGCUAGCGUUGUUCGGAAUCACUGGGCGUAAAGGGCGCGUAGGCGGCUUGAUAAGUCGGGGGUGAAAGCCUGUGGCUCAACCACAGAAUUGCCUUCGAUACUGUCUGGCUUGAGACCGGAAGAGGUAAGUGGAACUGCGAGUGUAGAGGUGAAAUUCGUAGAUAUUCGCAAGAACACCAGUGGCGAAGGCGGCUUACUGGUCCGGUUCUGACGCUGAGGCGCGAAAGCGUGGGGAGCAAACAGGAUUAGAUACCCUAGUAGUCC
Molecule: ribosomal RNA, 740 nt
Filed under: uncultured bacterium
Lineage: Bacteria
Description: bacterial SSU rRNA
Rfam family: Bacterial small subunit ribosomal RNA
Source: RNAcentral